Molecule: ribosomal RNA, 512 nt
Filed under: uncultured bacterium
Lineage: Bacteria
Description: bacterial SSU rRNA
Rfam family: Bacterial small subunit ribosomal RNA
Source: RNAcentral
GACGAACGCUGGCGGCGUGGAUUAGGCAUGCAAGUCGAACGGUAUCAUCCUUUCGGGGGUGAGAGAGUGGCGAACUGGUGAGUAACACGUAGGUUAUCUACCCUCAAGACGGGGACAACCCAGGGAAACUUGGGCUAAUACCGGAUGUGAGCAACUUUUUAGUUGUUUGAAAGGUGGCGUAAGCUGUCGCUUGGGGAUGAGCCUGCGUCCUAUUAGUUAGUUGGUGAGGUAACGGCUCACCUAGGCAAUGAUAGGUAGGCGGCCUUAACGGGUGGUCGCCCACACUGGGAUUGAGAUACGGCCCAGACUCCUACGGGAGGCAGCAGUCGAGAAUAGUCUACAAUGGUCGGAAGACUGAUAGUGCGACGCCGCGUGAACGAUGAAUCCCUUCGGGGUGUAAAGUUCUUUUAUAUGUGAGCAGUGCUUCUUAUAUUAAACAGUAUGGGGAAGAGAUAUUAGCAUAUGAAAUAAGCAAACGGCUAAACUCCGUGCCCAAGCAAGCCGCGGUAAAG